Molecule: long non-coding RNA, 267 nt
Organism: Syngnathus acus (greater pipefish)
Lineage: Eukaryota; Metazoa; Chordata; Actinopteri; Syngnathiformes; Syngnathidae
Exons: 2
Source: RefSeq, a predicted model, not a curated record
AAACCUACAUCGGUCAUUUUAUUUUUAUUUGUGUAGCCCAACAAAAGUCUCUUCAACCAGGAAAGAAAAAAUUCAAAUAAGGGCCUGGUAAUAAAAUCAAAUCAAUUUAUUAGCAUUUAAUAAAAAUUUCAAUUGUAAACAAGCCUGGGCUCCGAGGUCUCGUUACAGUACCUGAUUAUAUUUUAAAAAAAACAACGUAAUAACCGCUCAAACAGCUUUCCAUAGCUGCUUGCUUUCUGCUCCAGAAUGUGCAUGAUUUCAAAAUAG